UAAGGAAUAUUGGUCAAUGGACGCAAGUCUGAACCAGCCAUGCCGCGUGAAGGAUGAAGGUCCUCUGGAUUGUAAACUUCUUUUAUCUGGGACGAAAACGGGAUUUUUAUCUCAAUUGACGGUACCAGAGGAAUAAGCACCGGCUAACUCCGUGCCAGCAGCCGCGGUAAUACGGAGGGUGCGAGCGUUAUCCGGAUUUACUGGGUUUAAAGGGUGCGUAGGUGGGCUUAUAAGUCAGUGGUGAAAUCUCCGAGCUUAACUUGGAAACUGCCGUUGAUACUAUAGGUCUUGAAUUAUCUGGAGGUAAGCGGAAUAUGUCAUGUAGCGGUGAAAUACUUAGAUAUGACAUAGAACACCAAUUGCGAAGGCAGCUUACUACGUAUAAAUUGACGCUGAGGCACGAAAGCGUGGGGAUCAAACA
Molecule: ribosomal RNA, 421 nt
Filed under: uncultured bacterium
Lineage: Bacteria
Description: bacterial SSU rRNA
Rfam family: Bacterial small subunit ribosomal RNA
Source: RNAcentral